This is a non-coding RNA of Macaca mulatta (Rhesus monkey), 259 nucleotides long. NCBI's taxonomy places the organism in Eukaryota, Metazoa, Chordata, Mammalia, Primates, Cercopithecidae. The record is from RefSeq and is a predicted model, not a curated record.
GACAUUUGGUAAACAUUUCUAUUUCAGAAGGAAGGAAUGGGCCAAAAGCAAGGAAAGACAGGUCCCAAGCAAAUCUGAAACUCAGCAGAGCAGACAGUAAGUCUUAAAGCUCCAGAAAUGAACUCCUUUAACUCCAUGUCCUACAUCCUGGGCACACCGGUGAGAGUCAUAGGAGGUGAUUGGAGCUCUGCCUGGCAAAACAUGAUGGAUUGAUCAUGAGCCAUUUCUUCUGCCACAAAUAAAAAUGUUUUGGCUCCUA